ACAUCUGAAAUGAACCAAAGGUUUACCGCUAAGGGAUGGGGAUGCGUCUGAUUAGGUAGUCGGCGGGGUAACGGCCCACCGAGCCUUCGAUCAGUAGGGGUUCUGAGAGGAAGGUCCCCCACAUUGGAACUGAGACACGGUCCAAACUCCUACGGGAGGCAGCAGUGAGGAAUAUUGGUCAAUGGACGAGAGUCUGAACCAGCCAAGUAGCGUGCAGGAUGACGGCCCUAUGGGUUGUAAACUGCUUUUAUACAGGGAUAAAGUAGGGAACGUGUUCCCUUUUGCAGGUACUGUAUGAAUAAGGACCGGCUAAUUCCGUGCCAGCAGCCGCGGUAAUACGGAAGGUCCGGGCGUUAUCCGGAUUUAUUGGGUUUAAAGGGAGCGCAGGCCGGAGGUCAAGCGUGACGUGAAAUGUAGGGGCUCAACCUUUGAAUUGCGUCGCGAACUGGCUUUCUUGAGUGAGUACGACGUCAGCGGAAUUCGUGGUGUAGCGGUGAAAUGCUUAGAUAUCACGAAGAACCCCGAUUGCGAAGGCAGCUGACGAGUCCUUAACUGACGCUAAAGCUCGAAGGUGCGGGUA
This 580-nucleotide ribosomal RNA is filed under the name uncultured rumen bacterium. RNAcentral's name for it is "bacterial SSU rRNA". It matches the Rfam family "Bacterial small subunit ribosomal RNA", at positions 187 to 767 of the family's 1533-position model. The record is from RNAcentral.